AUCCCCUGGCGAUGGGCAAAGGGACACCUUGUCAGUGGUGGUGUUCUUACAUCAGUCAGGGGACAAGCAGAAGGCAGUCCUUUGUUCAUCCUAGCUUGAUACCUGACAUGGUGGUCAAAAUUGUUUUAUGCCUAGGACAUACAA
Small nucleolar RNA from Mus spicilegus (steppe mouse), 144 nucleotides. NCBI's taxonomy places the organism in Eukaryota, Metazoa, Chordata, Mammalia, Rodentia, Muridae. The record is from Ensembl.